UAGGGAAUCUUCCGCAAUGGGCGAAAGCUUGACGGAGCAACGCCGCGUGAGUGAUGAAGGUCUUCGGAUCGUAAAACUCUGUUAUUAGGGAAGAACAAAUGUGUAAGUAACUAUGCACGUCUUGACGGUACCUAAUCAGAAAGCCACGGCUAACUACGUGCCAGCAGCCGCGGUAAUACGUAGGUGGCAAGCGUUAUCCGGAAUUAUUGGGCGUAAAGCGCGCGUAGGCGGUUUUUUAAGUCUGAUGUGAAAGCCCACGGCUCAACCGUGGAGGGUCAUUGGAAACUGGAAAACUUGAGGGCAGAAGAGGAAAGUGGAAUUCCAUGUGUAGCGGUGAAAUGCGCAGAGAUAUGGAGGAACACCAGUGGCGAAGGCGACUUUCUGGUCUGUAACUGACGCUGAUGUGCGAAAGCGUGGGGAUCAAACAGG
This 429-nucleotide ribosomal RNA is filed under the name Actinomycetes bacterium. RNAcentral's name for it is "Actinobacteria bacterium partial 16S ribosomal RNA". It matches the Rfam family "Bacterial small subunit ribosomal RNA", at positions 355 to 776 of the family's 1533-position model. The record is from RNAcentral. Lineage: Bacteria; Bacillati; Actinomycetota; Actinomycetes.